Molecule: ribosomal RNA, 429 nt
Filed under: Pseudomonadota bacterium
Lineage: Bacteria; Pseudomonadati; Pseudomonadota
Description: Proteobacteria bacterium partial 16S ribosomal RNA
Rfam family: Bacterial small subunit ribosomal RNA
Source: RNAcentral
UGGGGAAUAUUGGACAAUGGGCGAAAGCCUGAUCCAGCCAUGCCGCGUGUGUGAAGAAGGUCUUCGGAUUGUAAAGCACUUUAAGUUGGGAGGAAGGGCAGUAAGCGAAUACCUUGCUGUUUUGACGUUACCUACAGAAUAAGCACCGGCUAACUCUGUGCCAGCAGCCGCGGUAAUACAGAGGGUGCGAGCGUUAAUCGGAUUUACUGGGCGUAAAGCGCGCGUAGGUGGUUCGUUAAGUUGAAUGUGAAAGCCCCGGGCUCAACCUGGGAACUGCAUCCAAAACUGGCGAGCUAGAGUAGGGCAGAGGGUGGUGGAAUUUCCUGUGUAGCGGUGAAAUGCGUAGAUAUAGGAAGGAACACCAGUGGCGAAGGCGACCACCUGGGCUCAUACUGACACUGAGGUGCGAAAGCGUGGGGAGCAAACAGG